GAUGAACGCUGGCGGCGUGCCUAAUACAUGCAAGUCGAGCGAACAGACGAGGAGCUUGCUCCUCUGACGUUAGCGGCGGACGGGUGAGUAACACGUGGAUAACCUACCUAUAAGACUGGGAUAACUUCGGGAAACCGGAGCUAAUACCGGAUAAUAUAUUGAACCGCAUGGUUCAAUAGUGAAAGACGGUUUUGCUGCCACUUAUAGAUGGAUCCGCGCCGCAUUAGCUAGUUGGUAAGGUAACGGCUUACCAAGGCAACGAUGCGUAGCCGACCUGAGAGGGUGAUCGGCCACACUGGAACUGAGACACGGUCCAGACUCCUACGGGAGGCAGCAGUAGGGAAUCUUCCGCAAUGGGCGAAAGCUUGACGGAGCAACGCCGCGUGAGUGAUGAAGGUCUUCGGAUCGUAAAACUCUGUUAUUAGGGAAGAACAAAUGUGUAAGUAACUAUGCACGUCUUGACGGUACCUAAUCAGAAAGACACGGCUAACUACGUG
This 497-nucleotide ribosomal RNA is filed under the name uncultured bacterium. Its description in RNAcentral is "partial 16S ribosomal RNA". It matches the Rfam family "Bacterial small subunit ribosomal RNA", at positions 28 to 507 of the family's 1533-position model. The record is from RNAcentral.